GAUUUAGCUUUCCUUAAAGAUUGUUAUAAAUUUUCCAAUGAGAGUGAGACACUUCCAUAGUCAUGGCAUUACAAGUUUGAGGCCUUAAUUACCCCUUUUGAAUUCUAGCGUUUCUGCUUCGUUGUAAUUUCUCAAAUUGCGGGGUUAAUGUUUGUUUUACCUUUUGUUGCAAUGUAAACAGAUAACAAGUCCACAAGCUUUAUGCUUG
This 208-nucleotide unclassified non-coding RNA is filed under the name Hevea brasiliensis (rubber tree). Lineage: Eukaryota; Viridiplantae; Streptophyta; Magnoliopsida; Malpighiales; Euphorbiaceae. The record is from RNAcentral.